RNAcentral lists this long non-coding RNA (472 nucleotides) under Salmo salar (Atlantic salmon). RNAcentral describes it as "lncRNA (ENSSSAG00000107667.1, ENSSSAG00020070971.1)". Lineage: Eukaryota; Metazoa; Chordata; Actinopteri; Salmoniformes; Salmonidae. The record is from RNAcentral.
GUAGAAUCUCCAGCAGGGAGGACAUUUUUCAGCGUCGCACAGCAGUUUCUGGCGUGCUCGUGGCCUCGCCUGCUUCCGAAGUAACCACGCUGUUUUGCUGAAGGAUGUCUGUGUCCUCUACGGGUCCACGUUCAUGGUGUGAUGUGGCCGUGCACUGAUGCAUGGAUUCUAAAUGUGUUGGCCCUUCCUUGGCGCUCGCUCCACACAGCCUUGUGGAGUUGUUAUUCACACACGGGAGCAGAUGUUGUGAAGAGAAAACAGCGUGACAAGAUUGUGAUCGAUGCAUACUGCCCCAUCAAAAUCGCUGCAUAAUUUGGCGGAUGGCAUCAGGAUAACAACCCGCAUUAGCUGGAGACAGCUGUCGCCAUGGCGCCUGGCAGCAGAGUCCUAAAGUUGAGACAAUAUCCACAUCUGGAGAGCACACCAGGAAGACUUUGUCGUGUCUGUGACUAUCAUUAAAUGUGAAGACUGU